GUGCUCACUUCGGCAGCACAUAUACUAAAAUCGGGAUGAUACAGAGAAGGUUAGCAUGGCCCCUGCACAAGGAUGACACGCAAAUUCGUGAAGCGUUCCGUAUUUAA
This 107-nucleotide small nuclear RNA is filed under the name Phocoena sinus (vaquita). The record is from RNAcentral. Lineage: Eukaryota; Metazoa; Chordata; Mammalia; Artiodactyla; Phocoenidae.